CAUUAAAUGACUGAAAUGUAAGUAUUGGUCUCUUAAACCAAAUUAUAGUAAUUUUACAAAUACUUUUAUUGA
RNAcentral lists this transfer RNA (72 nucleotides) under Bradysia impatiens. RNAcentral describes it as "tRNA-Lys". The record is from RNAcentral. Lineage: Eukaryota; Metazoa; Arthropoda; Insecta; Diptera; Sciaridae.